AGGACGAACGCUGGCGGCGUGCUUAACACAUGCAAGUCGAACGGGCAUCUUCGGAUGUUAGUGGCGAACGGGUGAGUAACACGUGGGCAACCUGCCCCUAGCUCUGGGAUAACUCCGGGAAACCGGGGCUAAUACUGGAUAUGAUCUGCUCCUGCAUGGGGGUGGGUGGAAAGUUUUUCGGCUAGGGAUGGGCCCGCGGCCUAUCAGCUUGUUGGUGGGGUGAUGGCCUACCAAGGCGACGACGGGUAGCCGGCCUGAGAGGGCGACCGGCCACACUGGGACUGAGACACGGCCCAGACUCCUACGGGAGGCAGCAGUGGGGAAUAUUGCGCAAUGGGCGGAAGCCUGACGCAGCGACGCCGCGUGGGGGAUGACGGCCUUCGGGUUGUAAACCUCUUUCAGCAGGGACGAAGCGUGAGUGACGGUACCUGCAGAAGAAGCACCGGCCAACUACGUGCCAGCAGCCGC
This 468-nucleotide ribosomal RNA is filed under the name uncultured bacterium. Its description in RNAcentral is "SSU rRNA". It matches the Rfam family "Bacterial small subunit ribosomal RNA", at positions 26 to 518 of the family's 1533-position model. The record is from RNAcentral.